UACGGGGGGGGUAAGCGUUGUUCGGAAUUACUGGGCGUAAAGGGCUCGUAGGCGGCCAACUAAGUCAGACGUGAAAUCCCUCAGCUUAACUGGGGAACUGCGUCUGAUACUGGUUGGCUUGAGUGCAGGAGAGGAACGCGGAAUUCCAGGUGUAGCGGUGAAAUGCGUAGAUAUCUGGAGGAACACCGGUGGCGAAGGCGGCGUUCUGGACUGUAACUGACACUGAUGAACGAAAGCCAGGGGAGCAAACGGG
Molecule: ribosomal RNA, 253 nt
Filed under: uncultured bacterium
Lineage: Bacteria
Description: partial 16S ribosomal RNA
Rfam family: Bacterial small subunit ribosomal RNA
Source: RNAcentral